AGAGGACUGAAAAUCCU
RNAcentral lists this transfer RNA (17 nucleotides) under Nasturtium officinale. RNAcentral's name for it is "partial tRNA-Phe". RNAcentral also lists the same sequence under 25 other names. The record is from RNAcentral. Lineage: Eukaryota; Viridiplantae; Streptophyta; Magnoliopsida; Brassicales; Brassicaceae.